GCGGUGUGGGAUGGGCCCGCGGCCUAUCAGCUUGUUGGUGGGGUAAUGGCCUACCAAGGCGACGACGGGUAGCCGGCCUGAGAGGGUGACCGGCCACACUGGGACUGAGAUACGGCCCAGACUCCUACGGGAGGCAGCAGUGGGGAAUAUUGCACAAUGGGCGCAAGCCUGAUGCAGCGACGCCGCGUGAGGGAUGACGGCCUUCGGGUUGUAAACCUCUUUCAAUAGGGACGAAGCGCAAGUGACGGUACCUAUAGAAGAAGGACCGGCCAACUACGUGCCAGCAGCCGCGGUAAUACGUAGGGUCCGAGCGUUGUCCGGAAUACUGGGCGUAAAGAGCUCGUAGGUGGUUUGUCGCGUUGUUCGUGAAAACUCACAGCUUAACUGUGGGCGUGCGGGCGAUACGGGCAGACUAGAGUACUGCAGGGGAGACUGGAAUUCCUGGUGUAGCGGUGGAAUGCGCAGAUAUCAGGAGGAACACCGGUGGCGAAGGCGGGUCUCUGGGCAGUAACUGACGCUGAGGAGCGAAAGCGUGGGGAGCGAACAGGAUUAGAUACCCUGGUAGUCCACGCCGUAAACGGUGGGUACUAGGUGUGGGUUUCCUUCCUUGGGAUCCGUGCCGUAGCUAACGCAUUAAGUACCCCGCCUGGGGAGUACGGCCGCAAGGCUAAAACUCAAAGAAAUUGACGGGGGCCCGCACAAGCGGCGGAGCAUGUGGAUUAAUUCGAUGCAACGCGAAGAACCUUACCUGGGUUUGACAUGCACAGGACGCCAGUAGAGAUAUUGGUUCCCUUGUGGCCUGUGUGCAGGUGGUGCAUGGCUGUCGUCAGCUCGUGUCGUGAGAUGUUGGGUUAAGUCCCGCAACGAGCGCAACCCUUAUCUUAUGUUGCCAGCGCGUAAUGGCGGGGACUCGUGAGAGACUGCCGGGGUCAACUCGGAGGAAGGUGGGGAUGACGUCAAGUCAUCAUGCCCCUUAUGUCCAGGGCUUCACACAUGCUACAAUGGCCGGUACAAAGGGCUGCGAUGCCGUGAGGUGGAGCGAAUCCUUUCAAAGCCGGUCUCAGUUCGGAUCGGGGU
RNAcentral lists this ribosomal RNA (1077 nucleotides) under Mycolicibacterium peregrinum. Its description in RNAcentral is "16S ribosomal RNA". It matches the Rfam family "Bacterial small subunit ribosomal RNA", at positions 215 to 1304 of the family's 1533-position model. Lineage: Bacteria; Bacillati; Actinomycetota; Actinomycetes; Mycobacteriales; Mycobacteriaceae. The record is from RNAcentral.